UUUUGGCACUUUUCCGUUUUC
RNAcentral lists this non-coding RNA (21 nucleotides) under Caenorhabditis elegans. The record is from RNAcentral. Lineage: Eukaryota; Metazoa; Nematoda; Chromadorea; Rhabditida; Rhabditidae.